This 763-nucleotide long non-coding RNA is filed under the name Vigna radiata. Its description in RNAcentral is "long non-coding RNA (VRAD_LNC013820)". The record is from RNAcentral. Lineage: Eukaryota; Viridiplantae; Streptophyta; Magnoliopsida; Fabales; Fabaceae.
GGUAAAAGAAAGAAAUCCUAGGGAGAACUAGGCUGCAGCGUUAGCGUCCUCUAGCACUUGCUCCAAUGGAACCUCCUAAACGACAUCUGCUCUCAUCCAAGCGGAUGAUCAUCGCAAGAGAAAGCAUACCCAAGCAACAUACAACACAAAAGUAAGGGUGAGCUAGGUAAACAAACAACCUACAUAAAAUACAGUCAAANAAUGUCCUCAUGCUUAAUUAAAUAUAAAAAGAACAAGCAAGGCAUACCAACCACACCAUGCAUGACUCAUCCGGAUUUGGUAUAAUUGUCUAGCUAUUGGUCGUCUUUGCACUUGCAUAGUUCAGCUGGCCCAUCCCCAACACUAUGCAAGGUAAAUCCCCCAAUCUGUCUAUGUCUAAACUCCAAGACUAUAGACGAGGACCUCCCUCUACUCUCACCACUCACACUGUUCUUCUCUAUUUGAGCAUGAACAGUGCUUUNAGUGUAGGGAUAGACAUACAUUUCAAAGCUCCCAACAUUAUACANACAACAACAACAUUUCUACAAUCACAUCCACUCAUCUCACCCUGAGAUGUUCAAUUNACACUCAAGUUCAUCAAUUCACAGUCAUGUUAUUUCAAGUCACACGAGUCACCUAGAUAGACAUACAUACAUGACAUUCGAUAGAGCAAACAACGUUAAUCAAUCCAUAUACCUUAACUAACCAAUCACAAAUCACCAAAUUUAUAACAUCUCUCGCAAUAAGAUACGCAUUGCUCAAUAACAUGCGUUGCUCAUAAAUC